This is a long non-coding RNA of Pectinophora gossypiella (pink bollworm), 622 nucleotides long. RefSeq lists it as uncharacterized. The record is from RefSeq and is a predicted model, not a curated record. Lineage: Eukaryota; Metazoa; Arthropoda; Insecta; Lepidoptera; Gelechiidae. The transcript has 4 exons.
GCGGCCUCGAUUAGCGGGGGAACCACAUGAAAAAAAGCGAGCUACUGGGUGUACCUCCUGGGUAGUUUGGAAAUCACCUAAAAUAUAUAUGUAUAUAUUUAUAAAUAAAAGUUAAUAUAUAUAAAUAAACAUUAUUAUUUUUUAACAGGAAAUGCACAAUGCUAAAAACUGCGUAGGAGAUUUUAAUACAAUAGUACUACCAAGCCUGAUGUUGGCCGCUAUUUCAAUGAAUGCAGCAGUGUGACAGCUAGCAAUCAAAAGUAACAAGAUAUCGAGGAAAUGCAGAUGGCAAUAAACUGUGUAGGAGUUCAUGAUUGCAAUAGAAUAAAAUCGACCAAGCCUGAAGUCAGCAGCCCCCCUUCAAUGAAUGCAGCAGUGUGACAGCCAGCAAUCAAAAGUUACAAGAUAUCGAGGAAAUGCAGAAGGCAAAAAACUGCGUAGGAGAUCAUUAAUACAAAAGUAUUAUAUAAACCAAACCUGAUGUUGCCAGCUCCUUCAAUGAAUGCAGCAGUGUGACAGCCAACAAUCAAAAGUAACAAGAUAUCGAGGAAAUGCAGAAGGCAAAAAACUGCGUAGGAGAUCAUUAAUACAAUAAACCAAGCCUGAUGUUGGCCGCUCAUUC